Molecule: ribosomal RNA, 254 nt
Filed under: uncultured bacterium
Lineage: Bacteria
Description: partial 16S ribosomal RNA
Rfam family: Bacterial small subunit ribosomal RNA
Source: RNAcentral
UACGUAGGCAGCGAGCGUUGUUCGGAGUUACUGGGCGUAAAGGGUGUGUAGGCGGUUGUUUAAGUUUGGUGUGAAAUCUCCCGGCUCAACUGGGAGGGUGCGCCGAAUACUGAAUGACUUCGAGUGCGGGAGAGGAGAGUGGAAUUCCUGGUGUAGCGGUGAAAUGCGUAGAUAUCAGGAGGAACACCGGUGGCGAAGGCGGGUCUCUGGGCAGUAACUGACGCUCAUGCACGAAAGCGUGGGGAGCAAACAGG